UAGAGACCGGCGCACGGGUGCGUAACGCGUAUGCAAUCUACCUUUUGCAGAGGGAUAGCCCAGAGAAAUUUGGAUUAAUACCUCAUAGUAUAGCGACCUGGCAUCAGGAUGUUAUUAAAGUCACAACGGUAAAAGAUGAGCAUGCGUCCCAUUAGCUAGUUGGUAAGGUAACGGCUUACCAAGGCGACGAUGGGUAGGGGUCCUGAGAGGGAGAUCCCCCACACUGGUACUGAGACACGGACCAGACUCCUACGGGAGGCAGCAGUGAGGAAUAUUGGACAAUGGGCGCAAGCCUGAUCCAGCCAUGCCGCGUGCAGGAUGACGGUCCUAUGGAUUGUAAACUGCUUUUGUACAGGAAGAAACCCUUUCACGUGUGAGAGAUUGACGGUACUGUAAGAAUAAGGAUCGGCUAACUCCGUGCCAGCAGCCGCGGUAAUACGGAGGAUCCAAGCGUUAUCCGGAAUCAUUGGGUUUAAAGGGUCCGUAGGCGGCCAGAUAAGUCAGUGGUGAAAGCCCAUCGCUCAACGGUGGAACGGCCAUUGAUACUGUCUGGCUUGAAUUACAAGGAAGUAACUAGAAUAUGUAGUGUAGCGGUGAAAUGCUUAGAGAUUACAUGGAAUACCAAUUGCGAAGGCAGGUUACUACUUGUGGAUUGACGCUGAUGGACGAAAGCGUGGGUAGCGAACAGGAUUAGAUACCCUGGUAGUCCACGCCGUAAACGAUGGAUACUAGCUGUUGGGAGUGAUCUCAGUGGCUAAGCGAAAGUGAUAAGUAUCCCACCUGGGGAGUACGGGCGCAAGCCUGAAACUCAAAGGAAUUGACGGGGGCCCGCACAAGCGGUGGAGCAUGUGGUUUAAUUCGAUGAUACGCGAGAACCUUACCA
Molecule: ribosomal RNA, 883 nt
Filed under: uncultured bacterium
Lineage: Bacteria
Description: bacterial SSU rRNA
Rfam family: Bacterial small subunit ribosomal RNA
Source: RNAcentral